UAUUAGGUAAAUAGAUGAGUGGAGUAGGUUUUGGUCGACCUGCUUUGCAUCCCUAACUACAAUAGCUCGAAAUUGGUAGGUUGUAACAUCAGCAAUGAAACAAUGUAUUGAAUGAAGCUUAGGACUAGCCCAAGAGCUCCCAAAAUUCAGCCAGCCAAGCAGGAGGUAGGAUUCGAGUGUAUAGCAGUAAUCAGCAAAUCAGCAAAGGUACGGAAAAGGCCGAAAUUUGUAAGAGCAGGAGGUUUUACUUUGGAAGGAUCGCCGGCGGCGUGGGCGACGACGUAGUCCCAGAACCAGGCGCAGAUAGCGCGGUCCACGCAGUGCGCCGCCAUCUGCUUCUCCACCAUCACCUCCCUGCCAAAACCCCAUCCCGGAUCGCAUCAAGCUCAGCGCCGGAUCCAACGAGGGGGGCUAGGAAUCGAAGCGGUGACUGUUAGCAGCCAGAGAAAUUGGGUGACUGUAGAGCCAAGGUUACCCGGAAUCGGAGAGGAGAAAGAUGCACUGCAGCAUUUUGCCGCCCUUCGCCGUUUGUCGAGGUGACCGGCGGACCGGGGGAUACGACGACGGGCAGAUGAGGAAAGGCAGAAGUGAAUGAGGGGGGAAGGCCAGCAGGGGCGGAGUGCAAAUUGCUUGUGUUUAUUCAACACCAUUACACCAAUCCACCGUUCAGCAAUCAGCGUGCGCUGUACCAUGGACAGCUUAUUACGCAACCAAAGACAGAAAACAGGUGGUAGCGUGUGGCCCAAUCCUGUACCUGCUCUUUGAUCCCAACUCCCAACUGUGAACAAUAUUCAGUCGACGCAAUGGUCAUCGUUGUUUUUGUUUUAAGUUCCACUUUUACUUUGAUAAUUUGGAGGACAACAAAAUCUUUGAUAAUUAGAUUCCAGUUCAUCAGUUA
Molecule: long non-coding RNA, 898 nt
Organism: Zea mays
Lineage: Eukaryota; Viridiplantae; Streptophyta; Magnoliopsida; Poales; Poaceae
Exons: 2
Source: RefSeq, a predicted model, not a curated record